UAUUAAUUAAAUGUCCGGGAA
RNAcentral lists this non-coding RNA (21 nucleotides) under Caenorhabditis elegans. Lineage: Eukaryota; Metazoa; Nematoda; Chromadorea; Rhabditida; Rhabditidae. The record is from RNAcentral.